GUCAGCCGGGCGUCGCGCCAUCCGUCCCUCGAUGCGGCGUUCGGUUUCGGGCAAGGCCCGCGGAGACGCGCCGUCUGUUCCGGGCGGCGCGUC
RNAcentral lists this small RNA (93 nucleotides) under Caulobacter vibrioides OR37. RNAcentral describes it as "sRNA CC1840". It matches the Rfam family "caulobacter sRNA CC1840". The record is from RNAcentral. Lineage: Bacteria; Pseudomonadati; Pseudomonadota; Alphaproteobacteria; Caulobacterales; Caulobacteraceae.